This 957-nucleotide long non-coding RNA is filed under the name Androctonus crassicauda. Lineage: Eukaryota; Metazoa; Arthropoda; Arachnida; Scorpiones; Buthidae. The record is from RNAcentral.
AAGAGUUGAUCGAAAUAAAUACUAAAUAAAAUUUAAUAAAUAAAAACCUUAACAAAAUUUGUUUUGAGAAAAAAUCAAAGGGUAAUUAUUAAGAAUAGUAAGUUAUCUAGCCCGUAAAUUUCCCAGAAAAUAACAAAACCCCAGAGAGAUUUUAAAAAAUCAGAGGAAAACAAUGAUUAUUCUGGUUAAAUAAACACUGUCCGGCGAAAAACUGAUUCGAUAGGGAAAAAAAAUCAGAUCGAGGAUCAAACCGGACCUUCCCGAUGACAAAUCAAACAAUACCGUGCGGGCCAAAAAAGGAUUUGAAAAGAGGAGCAAUCAUUUCUCCCGAUAGUUUAUGAAGCUUGUCACAUGUUGGGGUAUCUCGCGUUUUGAUCCUCAUACAUCCGAGAUUGGUCCGAGUUUAACAGAAAUAGAUAAUAUUAUAAGUGAUGGGGUUAGUGACCGAUGAAAAUGAAACCGUUACCGUCCGUUUCCUUCAUAACAAAGUGUGCACGAGACGCGGUCCGUCGAGGACUGCCCGGUUGGAACAGCCUCCGUCGUUUGGUCAGAAAGCAGGUGGAACGGAAGUCGUUGACUCACCCUGACUGCCAGCGAUUCCAUCCAUGCCUCCGCUGUAACCUCGAGAAGGUCCGAACCCAGACGCUUCCUGUGGAUAACUUCCCAUCAUACCUGAGGAAUAAAAAUCCACAUAAAUAGAUAAUUUUUUCAGUCUAUUAAAAAAAAUUCCAUUAUUAUUAUCAUCAUCACCACCAACAUCGACGCAUUUUCCUCCGGCACGAUAACCACAAUCUGUUAUGAAGCGAAACCGAUCGGAAAUAAUAAGAAAAUUUUAUUAUUAGUAAAAGUUGUUAGUAAAGACAGCUAUUCCAGUGUAAUUUUAAUUACUAUACUUCGAUAACAACGAUUCAAAAACUUAAUAAAUCCGUAUUUUCAAUAAAAAAAUGUUAUAACCGA